RNAcentral lists this ribosomal RNA (256 nucleotides) under uncultured bacterium. Its description in RNAcentral is "partial 16S ribosomal RNA". It matches the Rfam family "Bacterial small subunit ribosomal RNA", at positions 523 to 777 of the family's 1533-position model. The record is from RNAcentral.
UAGCGAAGGGGGCUAGCGUUGUUCGGAUUAACUGGGCGUAAAGGGUGCGUAGGCGGGUUUUUAAGUCAGGGGUGAAAUCCCGAGGCUCAACCUCGGAACUGCCUUUGAUACUGGAAAUCUUGAGUCUGGGAGAGGUGAGUGGAACUGCGAGUGUAGAGGUGAAAUUCGUAGAUAUUCGCAAGAACACCGGUGGCGAAGGCGGCUCACUGGCCCGGAACGUGACGCUGAGGCACGAAAGCGUGGGGAGCAAACAGGG